AACGAACGCUGGCGGCAUGCCUAACACAUGCAAGUCGAACGAGACCUUCGGGUCUAGUGGCGCACGGGUGCGUAACGCGUGGGAACCUGCCCUUAGGUUCGGAAUAACUCCCCGAAAGGGGUGCUAAUACCGGAUAAUGUCUUCGGACCAAAGAUCUAUCGCCUUUGGAUGGGCCCGCGUUGGAUUAGCUAGUUGGUAGGGUAAAAGCCUACCAAGGCGACGAUCCAUAGCUGGUCUGAGAGGAUGAUCAGCCACACUGGGACUGAGACACGGCCCAGACUCCUACGGGAGGGAGCAGUGGAGAAUAUUGGACAAGGGGCGAAAGCCUGAUCCAGCAAUGCCGCGUAAGAGAUGAAGGCCUUAGGAUUGUAAAGCUCUUUUACCCGGGAUGAUAAUGACAGUACCGGGAGAAUAAGCUCCGGCUAACUACGUG
This 433-nucleotide ribosomal RNA is filed under the name uncultured bacterium. RNAcentral's name for it is "partial 16S ribosomal RNA". It matches the Rfam family "Bacterial small subunit ribosomal RNA", at positions 29 to 507 of the family's 1533-position model. The record is from RNAcentral.